CACAGGCCUGGGCUCGGCUCAUCGCACAGCCUCCAUCUCUGGAUGCCCUGAUUCAAGGAGAUUCAAAACCCGUGUCACUGCUGCCAUCUUCCUAGAAUCCCUUUAAAUCCUCAUGGAUUUGCUGACAUUGGGAGCAUCCUGAAAGAGUCCCCAUGCUAGGGUGGCUGCAGUAACAGGUACAAUGAGAAAUGAUGGUUCUCCCCACUCCAGAAAAAAUCAAAUCAGAUUGUGAAUUUAUUCCCUGACAUUAACACACGGCAUUACAGGAGCAUGUACAUCACAUGGUCAAUUUAUUGGCAUGAGGAUUAUGUCAUCGGGGAAUAAAUGGGAAAUUCUCAAGGUA
This 343-nucleotide long non-coding RNA is filed under the name Homo sapiens (human). RNAcentral's name for it is "non-protein coding lnc-VSX1-1:2". Lineage: Eukaryota; Metazoa; Chordata; Mammalia; Primates; Hominidae. The record is from RNAcentral.